Long non-coding RNA from Balaenoptera ricei (Rice's whale), 1743 nucleotides. RefSeq lists it as uncharacterized. NCBI's taxonomy places the organism in Eukaryota, Metazoa, Chordata, Mammalia, Artiodactyla, Balaenopteridae. The record is from RefSeq and is a predicted model, not a curated record. The transcript has 5 exons.
UGGCAGGCAGCGCCGCUUUCAUCAUUUCUCAGAAAAGUCAAUUUCAUUUUCACUUCCCCACGUCGCGGCAGCGGGAGCAACAAGCGGCUGCGCGAUGGAACAUCCUAGGACCGUCUACCUGGAUGCAUCAGGACUCAUUUCUUUUCAAGGGAGUCGAGAAAGGAGAGUGAUUACUUGGCCAUGCAGCAAUUGACCUCUCCAUGAUUGAAACUUAAAGAUACAUUCAAGUCAUCAUAUUUCCUAUUUUGCUUGCUCAAUUUCCACGUAUAACAGGAUUAGCAGAAGGGAGAGAAAACAACUCAUUUGAAGGCAGUAAAGGGUAGGAUGUCUCUCUCUGUCUCUGUCUCUGUCUCUGUCUCACACACACACACACACACACACACACACACACACGCACACACACACACAGUAGAGGAGGAUUCUCUGCAUGCAGAAACUCAAUUCAGAACAUUUUUCCCACAGAAGUAAUAAGAAACCAUGAUGGUACAAGUAUAUAGUUUUCCUUCAUUAUGGGUUAAAUUAAGAGUUUGUGGGCUGGCCCGGGAAUACACCAUUUUAUAACAUUGUACACAUGGGAAACUUUCAUUCUGAAAUCUAGACAGCUGUUUUCAAAAGACACUAUGAGGGCUCAGUGCGUUGUGUGGGCCUGCGGCUGCCCACCCUCCACAGGACCGUGCUCAGCAAUUUUGGAGGCGACGAAGAAGAAAGAGGCCUGCUUCCCGAUCUUGAGGCAUUUGCGGUCCACGUUAGGAGACAGGGCCCACAGUGCAAAGAUGAUUAUUUCAAGACAGAAAUGGCAUGUGGCCCCACUCCCAGGGGACCAGGAUGUAUUAUAAAGAAUGAAGAUCAAGAUGCAAAGAAAGGUUCAUAUUUUGAUCUCCUUUUUGCAAAGACAACAGUGGACACCCCCCAAAAAAGUUUGAAUUUAAAAGGAUAAAGGUGUAGAUAUGAAGCUGUUAAUAUUGGUCACCUUAAGGACAGGACCCUUCUGGUAAGAGUGCUUUAACCCAGAGCCACCCAAUAGACCCACGAUGGAGACACUUUUAAGCAGCUGGCGUUUCACUUCCCUAUAAGAUCCUCCUGCUCUCCCCGUGGGAAAGGCCCAUCGUGGCCCUUUCUGUGCAUAUCUGCUACCUGAAAGGUAAGGAGGAGUUUCCUAAAGUGUAAAACCGUGGGAAUAAAGGCUGUUGCUCUCAUGGCAGCUUGAGCCCUGCUCUUGUUAAGGGUUCUCUGCUUCACCCUGAUGAAUUCUCCUACAGCAUCUUACAGAACCAACACGGCUUCCCCUCCAGGCAGGUUGGAUGCAUUCACAGGAGGGAAGCAAGCAGCUGCUGGAGGCUGGCCCACUGAAUACACUUGGAGAAAGUGCUGUGUGCGUUUCUGUUCAACAUUACUUGUAUGUCCAUGAUAGUUCAGUGGCCUCAGGAAAAGUAGAGACCUUAGUCCAGUUUUCUCUGUACCUAUUCUGAGGAUUAUUCACCGAGUGAUAGGUGUCCAUUACAUCAGCAUGACACCUUCAUCAGUCAAGCCCAAAAAUAAAUGAUUCCACAUGGUAAACAACAAAGCAUAGUAAGGAUACCAAAGAACGGCUCAGGCUUCCUACAGGUAGUGGGAUUUGAGCUGUACCUUAAAGAAUAGGUUAAAAAUAAAUAAGCAAUUAAAACAACUAUACCCCAAUAAAAAAAAUAAAAAUAAAAAUAAAAUAAAAUGCUCACACAAUAAAUAAAUGAGCAAUUAAAAAUA